This 490-nucleotide ribosomal RNA is filed under the name uncultured bacterium. Its description in RNAcentral is "partial 16S ribosomal RNA". It matches the Rfam family "Bacterial small subunit ribosomal RNA", at positions 29 to 506 of the family's 1533-position model. The record is from RNAcentral.
GUGAACGCUGGCGGUAGGCCUAACACAUGCAAGUCGAACGGCAGCACAGUAAGAGCUUGCUCUUACGGGUGGCGAGUGGCGGACGGGUGAGGAAUACAUCGGAAUCUACUUUUUCGUGGGGGAUAACGUAGGGAAACUUACCCUAAUACCGCAUACGACCUACGGGUGAAAGCAGGGGAUCUUCGGACCUUGCGCGAUUGAAUGAGCCGAUGUCGGAUUAGCUAGUUGGCGGGGUAAAGGCCCACCAAGGCGACGAUCCGUAGCUGGUCUGAGAGGAUGAUCAGCCACACUGGAACUGAGACACGGUCCAGACUCCUACGGGAGGCAGCAGUGGGGAAUAUUGGACAAUGGGCGCAAGCCUGAUCCAGCCAUACCGCGUGGGUGAAGAAGGCCUUCGGGUUGUAAAGCCCUUUUGUUGGGAAAGAAAAGCAGCAGGUUAAUACCCCGCUGUUCUGACGGUACCCAAAGAAUAAGCACCGGCUAACUUCGU